UGCCAGACUCCUACGGGAGGCAGCAGUCGGGAAUAUUGCGCAAUGGAGGAAACUCUGACGCAGUGACGCCGCGUAUAGGACGAAGGUCUUCGGAUUGUAAACUAUUGUCGUUAGGGAAGAGAAAGGACAGUACCUAAGGAGGAAGCUCCGGCUAACUACGUGCCAGCAGCCGCGGUAAUACGUAGGGAGCAAGCGUUAUCCGGAUUUACUGGGUGUAAAGGGAGCGUAGACGGACUUGCAAGUCUGAUGUGAAAAUCCGGGGCCCAACCCCGGAACUGCAUUGGAAACUGUAUAUCUAGAGUGUCGGAGAGGCAAGUGGAAUUCCUGGUGUAGCGGUGAAAUGCGUAGAUAUCAGGAGGAACACCAGUGGCGAAGGCGGCUUGCUGGACGAUGACUGACGUUGAGGCUCGAAAGCGUGGGGAGCAAACAGGAUUAGAUACCCUCGUACG
This 449-nucleotide ribosomal RNA is filed under the name uncultured bacterium. Its description in RNAcentral is "bacterial SSU rRNA". It matches the Rfam family "Bacterial small subunit ribosomal RNA", at positions 329 to 793 of the family's 1533-position model. The record is from RNAcentral.